CUCUCAGACAUAGCUGACACAGAACUCUUGGAAAAAGUCAAAAAGAUUCUGUGAAGGACUGAAAACUCUUUGGGUUCAGGACCAAAUACGACGACAUCCAGACAGCUUUCGACCCCUGUUCUGCUAUGAGCCGAACACACUGACUGCUGACCAGGUGGAUGAUCUUUUCAGCAUUCGUCUCUCUCCAGAAGGGAGCAACAAGAGAGCUGCUGACGAGAUGGUCGUUACUUUCUGGAGGGACUAUCUCCAAAAUGCAGAGGAAGAAGAAGGGCCAUCCAAACUAGAGAAGAUAUUGGCCUUCACAACUUGAGCAUCUGACCAGUUCAUUCACAAAGGAGAUGAUGGCUUCUCUACAUCAAUGUUCCCUCUUGCCAACACAUGUGUUAACUGCAUCAACUUGCCACUACAUGUGUCUUACCAACUGUUCAAGGAGAAGUUUGACUUUGCAUUAGGGAACACAUAUGGGUUUGGCAGGGCAUGAACAUGUCAUGCUCUGAAAACUUUUUCUGUCUGUGUCUCACUUUCUCUGUUUGUCUCUACCUUUCUGCUUGUCUGUCUGUUUUCUGAAAAAAGUUUCAAACAAGAGUUAUUAUUUUCAUUUCUGAAUGCCGUAUGCAAUAUAACUUAUGUAUUUUAUAUAGUUUCACCACGAUUCAGUUGACUCAGUCAGCCUAUGUUUUAAAACAUAUUUACAUUUUAACGGCAUGUUUCAUAUUUUUACCAAACUUUUUACCAAAUGUUAAUUUAUUUUUCAUAAAAUGUUUUACGUUUUAACAAAACUUUAAUUCACAGAAUACACUGCACAAGUGAAGAAAACAUUUUAACAAACCUUAACAUAACUCCUA
This is a long non-coding RNA of Perca fluviatilis (European perch), 845 nucleotides long. RefSeq lists it as uncharacterized. The transcript is spliced from 3 exons. Lineage: Eukaryota; Metazoa; Chordata; Actinopteri; Perciformes; Percidae. The record is from RefSeq and is a predicted model, not a curated record.